GGGGUCGACCGGAAUUGACAGGAUGGAGAUAAGUAAGUAAGCAUACCGUGCAUUGUAUGUAUUAGCACGUUAAUCUGAACAUUCAAAACCACAAAUGGCGAAAAUAACUACGCCUUAGCUGCCUAAUUUAGAAUUAGCAUAGCUUUUGUCCCGCCGGUUUUGCGUCCCAAUGGAUCGGCAACCGGGGCAUCGAAAAUUGGAACUGGCCCGUUGAUGGUAUUACAAACAGGCGAGAUAAAGUACCUACGGAUAAUAGUAUAGGCAAGCGACCGGCCUUCUGAUAUCCCGACAAUUAAACGCAAGCUAAGUAUGUAGAAAGCUUACCUUAUACCAUGUUUGGACGAGGGUUCGAAUCCCUCCGGCUCCACCC
This 370-nucleotide transfer-messenger RNA is filed under the name Mucilaginibacter myungsuensis. RNAcentral's name for it is "Standard tmRNA". It matches the Rfam family "transfer-messenger RNA". From Rfam's summary of the family: Bacterial tmRNA, also known as 10Sa RNA or SsrA, is named for its dual tRNA and mRNA-like properties. Its role is to liberate the mRNA from a stalled ribosome. The record is from Rfam by way of RNAcentral. Lineage: Bacteria; Pseudomonadati; Bacteroidota; Sphingobacteriia; Sphingobacteriales; Sphingobacteriaceae.